This 501-nucleotide long non-coding RNA is filed under the name Phaseolus vulgaris (common bean). RNAcentral's name for it is "long non-coding RNA (PVUL_LNC001965)". The record is from RNAcentral. Lineage: Eukaryota; Viridiplantae; Streptophyta; Magnoliopsida; Fabales; Fabaceae.
GAAAACUUUGACGUUGUUUUUUCAAAUUUUUUGCAUUGCUCUUCUCUUAAUUCCAGGUAAUAGAGUUAUAUAUGUUUUAUUUAGCAUAAUUUUUAGUUAUAAUAAGGUUUUUUUCUUUCAUCUAACCCAAUAUGUCGUGGAUCUCAAUAAUAUUUUUUAGUAUAAUAUAUAAGUAGGUGAAAAUUUUACAGAAUCAAUUUUAUAAUUUUAAAUUAGAAUUAGAAUUUAUUUUCUGAUAAAAUAAAACGAGAUACAAUAAGUUAAAUGGUUAGAUAUGAGUUGAUAAAAAUAAAAAAUAUUUUUAAAUAUAAUUUGUAAUUAGGUUUUGCAUAAAUUUAAGGGAAAAGCGAACCAACAUCUCGUAGAACAGCUUGUGCAGUAGAAGAAGGAGGAUGUCCAGACCGUAAAGGUUGUCAAAACUUUUGUAAAUUCUUUGGUCAUUCGAAAGGUGGUUCUUGCAUGCCUCCUGGAAGUAAAAAGUGUUGUUGCAUAAUCGAUGAU